CGGCCUGGUUACGAUGUCGAUUUGGAGGUUGUGCCCUUGAGGCGUGGCUUCCGAAGCUAACGCGUUAAAUCGACCGCCUGGGGAGUACGGCCGCAAGGUUAAAACUCAAAUGAAUUGACGGGGGCCCGCACAAGCGGUGGAGCAUGUGGUUUAAUUCGAUGCAACGCGAAGAACCUUACCUACUCUUGACAUCCAGCGAAUCCUGUAGAGAUACGGGAGUGCCUUCGGGAACGCUGAGACAGGUGCUGCAUGGCUGUCGUCAGCUCGUGUUGUGAAAUGUUGGGUUAAGUCCCGCAACGAGCGCAACCCUUAUCCUUUGUUGCCAGCGGUUCGGCCGGGAACUCAAAGGAGACUGCCAGUGAUAAACUGGAGGAAGGUGGGGAUGACGUCAAGUCAUCAUGGCCCUUACGAGUAGGGCUACACACGUGCUACAAUGGCGUAUACAAAGAGAAGCGAACUCGCGAGAGCAAGCGGACCUCAUAAAGUACGUCGUAGUCCGGAUUGGAGUCUGCAACUCGACUCCAUGAAGUCGGAAUCGCUAGUAAUCGUGGAUCAGAAUGCCACGGUGAAUACGUUCCCGGGCCUUGUACACACCGCCCGUCACACCAUGGGAGUGGGUUGCAAAAGAAGUAGGUAGCUUAACCUUCGGGAGGGCGCUUACCACUUUGUGAUUCAUGACUGGGGUGAAGUCGUACAAGGGUAAACCAAUUU
Molecule: ribosomal RNA, 711 nt
Filed under: Edwardsiella tarda
Lineage: Bacteria; Pseudomonadati; Pseudomonadota; Gammaproteobacteria; Enterobacterales; Hafniaceae
Description: bacterial SSU rRNA
Rfam family: Bacterial small subunit ribosomal RNA
Source: RNAcentral